This 72-nucleotide transfer RNA is filed under the name Ictidomys tridecemlineatus (thirteen-lined ground squirrel). RNAcentral describes it as "Spermophilus tridecemlineatus (thirteen-lined ground squirrel) tRNA". It matches the Rfam family "tRNA". Rfam says of the family: Transfer RNA (tRNA) molecules are approximately 80 nucleotides in length. Their secondary structure includes four short double-helical elements and three loops (D, anti-codon, and T loops). Lineage: Eukaryota; Metazoa; Chordata; Mammalia; Rodentia; Sciuridae. The record is from Rfam by way of RNAcentral. RNAcentral also lists the same sequence under 1 other name.
UGGGUUGUAGCUCAGUGGUAGAGUGCUUGCCUAGCAUGUGUGAGGCACUGGGUUUGAUCCUCAGCACCACAU